ACGUGAAGAGUCAGAGAAAAAAAACACAGAUUUAAACAUAGGAAACACAUAAAUCAGCUUGUGCUACUACUGAAUUAGCAUUUGCUAGUUUUGGUUUCUCCACUUAUAUCUAUUUGAAGGUGCAUUGCUGGCCAACAGUUGCCAAUGGCCUCUAAUAUCACAUCUUCACCACAAUUAGGGCCAACAAUUGGUGUUAUAUAUGCAUUCAGUUGGUGAUAUUCCACUUGUACAUGUUCUUACUCUCUCUCUGCAUUAUUCAAAAUAUUUAUCAAGAUUUGCAAGAAAAUUUUGGGCAUCCUACUACCGCAUAGCUAUGCAUCCUAGGUCACCUUUGGGAGAAAGCAAGCUUGGCCAGGUUAUGGAAUGGAGUCCAUGGAUGGUUGGAAAUUCCACUUGAUUUUGCCGGUGCAUAUAUGAUUGCAGUCGACCACUACUCACCUUUGAUGUAGGGUCACGGUUGUAUCACCCUUGCAUGAUAUGAAUUGUGGUAUCUUCAGUUCAGGUUCUGAUGUAAAUCUAGUAUUUUUGAGAAAUUUUUUGUAUAAGAACUUUGUUGCAAUACCUCAAUAAAUGAAGUUACAAAUUGCUCUCAA
Oryza sativa Japonica Group (Japanese rice) is the source of this 593-nucleotide non-coding RNA. Lineage: Eukaryota; Viridiplantae; Streptophyta; Magnoliopsida; Poales; Poaceae. The record is from RefSeq and is a predicted model, not a curated record.